AUGGAGUUAUGCCGAAAAUCCAACAAAGAGUAGGCA
Molecule: non-coding RNA, 36 nt
Filed under: unclassified sequences
Description: DUF805b RNA
Rfam family: DUF805b RNA
About the family: Bacteroidetes, Chlorobi (1 example), Proteobacteria. Lineage (Flavobacteria)
Source: RNAcentral